This is a non-coding RNA of Ictidomys tridecemlineatus (thirteen-lined ground squirrel), 2212 nucleotides long. The record is from RefSeq and is a predicted model, not a curated record. NCBI's taxonomy places the organism in Eukaryota, Metazoa, Chordata, Mammalia, Rodentia, Sciuridae.
CACACACACACACACACACAAAUGAGCUUAAGCUUUCUCCCAUAAUAAUAGCCAAAUUGCAUUUAUUAACAGUUAUCAAUCCUUAAGACAAAAGCAAUACUAAAAUGUGAAAAAUAUCUUUCACAUUAUCGUCCUGUAAGUGAUUUUUUAAAGUAACAUCUAUUUUGUGAGUGCAAGUGGAGACUACAUGAAGAGUCCUUUAAGGGUGACCUUACCCACAUCCCCACUCUUCCAAAUCUCCAAGACAUUGGCCAGCCUCCCCUUCUGAUAGUGAAGUGUUCUCCGGUUGCCAUUGUCACAUCCAAGGUAAGGAAACCCAGAAUCAUUAGAGGUUGAAUAAUUUGCCCAGAUACAAGAGCUUUAGAUGAGAAGAACCUAUGUUAGCUGCAUUGAAGAGCAAAUGAUAUCGGUGUACUACACCUGGGAUAACGGGACAAAAGGAUUAAAGAUGGUGGCCCAGGGAGUCCUCAAAGAGAUGACCUGCUGACAAAGUCUGGAAUAAAGCAAGAGAGUGAGUUUUUUUGAGCACCGGCCCCCUCCUCCCCUCUCGCCAAAGCAGGGCCUCUUUCACAUCAAUGCAGCUACAGCGGGAAGUUACUGGAGGAACUGGAGUAAAAUGCAGAAUCAAGGGAUGAUGGUCACAGUAACAAAGCCAAAAAACAGUAGAUGUUGGCGUGUGGUAGCCCUUCCCCAAGCCAUCUCAGUCUGCCUUUCUCCCUGCAUUCAGACAUAGCCAAGGCUUGCAUCCAGGUGUGUUUUUGUUUCAUUCCAAUCCAUGACAUCCUGUUUUGCAAAUGCUUUCCCUAAAAGCUGAUCUCUGUUAUACAUAAGUCGUUGUUCACCACUUCCACGAUUAAGAGCUCCUGAGUAGGAGAAAGAGGGUGCCAUUUUUUUUUUUCCUGUCUGUGGAUUUAGGUAGACUGUCCGGACUUCAGUGCACCUGUCAUAUCUGCCUAAGGCUGGUUCCAAUUAGAAUCUGUCUUAUGGAACCAAGCAAAAGUUAGUUAAUGCUGUUGCUAUUUUCCCAUUUUGUGGCUCAGCAAUUAUUCAUAUGAUGCUAAGCCCUUGAAUGAGUAUCCUCCCAAGCACUGCUCUGAGGUCAUGGUAUUUAUGUUCAGAGAUACUUUUUCCAAGAUGUAACCUCUUAAUUUGAAAGACAUUGUAUACUCUAUUAGGAAGUACUGUUUUACUAGAAUAAAAGGUAAGAGUCUCUUCUUAUAUGGAGGAAAUUAUUAUUAAGAAUAAAUAGACUAUUUUUUUUUCUGAAACUGAAAUGUUCAGAAUAGUAUUCAGGGUGGAUUUAGGUGAAUGGACAGUGAAUGAUUUAUCAGUUCAUUACCUCAAAGUUUAGCAAAAAAAAUCUCAAAGGAAGAACCUAUAUUUAUUUCUGUAGAUGUUCAAGGUUCAAAUAAGUCUAAAAUAUACUGGUCUGAUUUUCUGCAGUUUUCAAAGGUUUACCAAAGCUGGGUGCAGAUUUGUAUUACCUCUUUAUAAAUGCACAUCCUUAUAAGAUGUAAACUCUGAUACUGACCCCUCAUAGAACACAUUUACCUCCUGCUCAUUCAGUAAUAGUGAGCAUAUCUAUGAUUCAUUAUAGUGCCUUUAUUACUAUAGCAUGAUGCAUACUGUUGCAAGCCUUGUUGAGGCAUAAUUGACAAAUAAAAAUUACAUAUGUGUGUGGUACACAUCAUGAUGUUUUGAUGUACGGAAACAUUGUGAACACUAUAAUCAAGUUAAUUAACAUAUUCAUCACCUAACGUAGUUAUCAUAUCUCUUUGUGUGGUAAGAAUAUUUAAGAUCUACUUUCUUAGAUGCAGUGGUGCUCAUCUAUAAUCUAGCAACUCAGAAGGCUGAAGCAGGAGAAUAAUAAGUUCAAGACCAGCUUGGACAACCUACCAAGACCCAGUCUUAAAAAUUAAAAUUAAAAUAAAUGGUUGGGUAUGUAUCUCAGUGCUAGAGUGCCUCUGGGUUUAACCUCCAGGACAAUAAUAAUAAUAAUAUAUAUUAUUUUUUUCUUAGCAACUUUCAAGCAUAUAAUAGAUUAUUAUUAAUCAUAGUUAGCAUGCUGUGCAAUAAAUUUCCAGGCUUGCACACUUUUUAACUGACACUUUGACCAAUAUUGCCCAUUCCCUCUUCAGUUCUAUAAGUUUGACUAUUUUUAAUUCCAUGUAUAAGUAAGAUCAUGCAGAUUUGUCCUUCUGUGUCUGGCUUA